UACAUGAUUAUUAACAAAUUCAAAAUAUUAUAAUUUAAAUUAAUUUACUUAUAAAUCCAACUUCAUUAACUAUUUUAAUUAAAUCCAAAAAUAGCUUUAUUGUAAUACAUUCUAACUUUAAUAUUAUCUGCACCUUGACCUGACUUAUAUUAUUCUUUAAAACCAAAAAUUUACUUUUAAACAUUCUUUUUAGACGGAGAUAUACAAAAUAAAUUAAUUAAAGUAAGAUUCUCGUGGACUAUCGAUUUUAGAAUAUAUUCCUCUAAUUAGAAUAAACACCGCCAAAUCCUUUAAGUUUCCUGAUCAUAACAUUUACUACUCAAAAUAAAACUACAUUAAAAA
RNAcentral lists this ribosomal RNA (342 nucleotides) under Lichenomima muscosa. RNAcentral describes it as "partial 12S ribosomal RNA". Lineage: Eukaryota; Metazoa; Arthropoda; Insecta; Psocodea; Myopsocidae. The record is from RNAcentral.